RNAcentral lists this ribosomal RNA (624 nucleotides) under uncultured bacterium. RNAcentral describes it as "bacterial SSU rRNA". It matches the Rfam family "Bacterial small subunit ribosomal RNA", at positions 28 to 649 of the family's 1533-position model. The record is from RNAcentral.
AUUGAACGCUGGCGGCAUGCCUUACACAUGCAAGUCGAACGGCAGCGCGGGGCAACCUGGCGGCGAGUGGCGAACGGGUGAGUAAUAUAUCGGAACGUACCCUGGAGUGGGGGAUAACGUAGCGAAAGUUACGCUAAUACCGCAUACGAUCUAAGGAUGAAAGUGGGGGCAUCGCAAGACCUCAUGCUCCUGGAGCGGCCGAUAUCUGAUUAGCUAGUUGGUGGGGUAAAGGCCUACCAAGGCAUCGAUCAGUAGCUGGUCUGAGAGGACGACCAGCCACACUGGAACUGAGACACGGUCCAGACUCCUACGGGAGGCAGCAGUGGGGAAUUUUGGACAAUGGGCGCAAGCCUGAUCCAGCAAUGCCGCGUGAGUGAAGAAGGCCUCGGUUGUAAAGCUCUUUUGUCAGGGAAGAAACGGUGAGGGCUAAUAUCCCCUUGCUAAUGACGGUACCUGAAGAAUAAGCACCGGCUAACUACGUGCCAGCAGCCGCGGUAAUACGUAGGGUGCAAGCGUUAAUCGGAAUUACUGGGCGUAAAGCGUGCGCAGGCGGUUUUGUAAGUCUGUCGNGAAAUCCCCGGGCUCAACCUGGGGAAUUGCGAUGNGACUGCAAGGCUAGAAUCU